This 403-nucleotide ribosomal RNA is filed under the name Fusobacteriota bacterium. RNAcentral's name for it is "Fusobacteria bacterium partial 16S ribosomal RNA". It matches the Rfam family "Bacterial small subunit ribosomal RNA", at positions 355 to 776 of the family's 1533-position model. Lineage: Bacteria; Fusobacteriati; Fusobacteriota. The record is from RNAcentral.
UGGGGAAUAUUGCACAAUGGAGGGAACUCUGAUGCAGCGACGCCGCGUGAGUGAUGAAGGAAUUCGUUUCGUAAAACUCUGUUCUAUGGGAAGAAAAGGACUGUACCAUAGGAGAAAGCUCCGGCUAAAUACGUGCCAGCAGCCGCGGUAAUACGUAUGGAGCGAGCGUUGUCCGGAAUUAUUGGGCGUAAAGGGUGCGCAGGCGGUUUAAUAAGUCCUAAUUAAAAGGCUAUGGCUCAACCAUAGUAUGGUUAGGAAACUGUUGAACUUGAGUAGAUGAGGGGAAAGUGGAAUUCCAUGUGUAGCGGUGAAAUGCGUAGAUAUAUGGAGGAACACCAAUGGCGAAGGCAACUUUCUGGAAUCAAACUGACGCUGAGGUACGAAGGCGUGGGGAGCAAACAGG